Molecule: transfer RNA, 72 nt
Filed under: Sphaerodactylus townsendi
Lineage: Eukaryota; Metazoa; Chordata; Lepidosauria; Squamata; Sphaerodactylidae
Description: tRNA-Ala
Rfam family: tRNA
About the family: Transfer RNA (tRNA) molecules are approximately 80 nucleotides in length. Their secondary structure includes four short double-helical elements and three loops (D, anti-codon, and T loops).
Source: RNAcentral
GGGGUUGUGGCUCAGUGAUAGAGCAUCAGCUUGGCUUGCAGAAGGUCCCAGGUUCAAUCCUUGGCAUCUCCA